RNAcentral lists this long non-coding RNA (659 nucleotides) under Helianthus annuus (common sunflower). Its description in RNAcentral is "sRNA HanXRQr2_Chr03g0126571". Lineage: Eukaryota; Viridiplantae; Streptophyta; Magnoliopsida; Asterales; Asteraceae. The record is from RNAcentral.
GGCGCUUAAAUCCCAAAACUCGAAUGUAUAACCAAUUAAAAAAUUUCAUCUAUUUCCCACAUAUUCUGACAAAAAUGGCUUAUGAAUACAACAAUAGUUAACCCUAUAAAUCAGAAAAAGAGAUAUUGGGGAUUGCUUAAUGCAAAAUUACAAAACCAUACAUGUUCCCAAUAGUUGAUGACCUCAUUUUUAACACAAAAGGUAAAUUUAAAAAAAUAUCAUGUUAUCAAGCAGUUAUGUAAGCAACAUGUAUGUAGAAUGAUUUGAACACAGAGAUACAUAUACAUUGACAAACUUAUACAAUAGGAUUUGACAUAAGGUCAACCUCAAAGAGCCUGAUUUCUAACAUAUCGAUGGUAACUUAAAACAGAACCAGCUGAGAAACCUGUGUAAAAAUAAUUGAAAUAUCUGUGUCGCCAUGAAAACUAACCUUAUUCUCUAUAAAUAUUAUUGUAUGUGUCGCAAAAGGUAAAACUCGAACACAACUCUGCAGAGCAUAUUAUGCGUCACGAAAGAUGUUAACCUUGAUCGCGACGACAAUGAGAAGAUGAUAACCAAAACCCUAAUUGGUCAACACUGCGUCGCCGUUAGGGUCUCAAAUCGGGGAACCAGAGCAACAAUGAAGGUGUAAACAGAAUUGAUAGUAAAUCGAAUCGAAU